Molecule: long non-coding RNA, 968 nt
Organism: Pezoporus flaviventris
Lineage: Eukaryota; Metazoa; Chordata; Aves; Psittaciformes; Psittacidae
Exons: 3
Source: RefSeq, a predicted model, not a curated record
GUUGCGAGAACCCUUACAUAUUCAAGGGCUGACACAGAGAAGCAGGUUGUACAAGCCUCUAUAUGAAGAUACUCAGUAGAAACAAGACGUGUUGCUGAACUCAAGUGCAAGAGGAAGGAUCCGCUCCUCAGAAGCUCAUACUUCACUAGGAGGUGACCCAUACAGAGCAACACUUUACUUUGAUUUGCCCUGCUCUGAUUCAAAAAGCCAGAAUCAGUGACGCCUUCAAUGUCUGGGGUCACUUGCAGAGCUAAGAGUAGCACAGGGAAUAGAAUUUGUCACCUUCAGUAUCAAUUGCAGUAUCUCUGGUGCAAGCACAGUUAUUGUUCUGCUUUCGAUUGCUGCUAUGGGCUUAUUGUUAUACUGGGGCCAUGGAGGCAGACACUUCACAGGGUGAUACAUAACACCUGCGACCUGCCAUGCUAUUAUAUAUACGAGAGUGAUGUCUUCACAAAAUGUUUUCCCUAGGGCAAUUUUAAAUCUACUUGAUUUUUGACUCUCAGAAACACUCAGUUUUGGCUGCUAGAUUUCUUUGGAGUGUUGCUGUGCAAUGGAGCAUGGCAGCCGAUGAAAAAUCUGACCUGCUUAAUGGAGGGCUACAGGUUGCACAUCAGAAAAGAGAAGAAGCUCUUUUUCUUGGAGCUAUUAGAAGCUUCUUCAAUGCUCUGGAAACUUAUAAAGACUAAUACUGCAGCUGCUGUAGGUAAAUUUCUUGACAGGGAAUGAGAAAGCUAGAAUGACAACUUUAAUAAAAAAUGUGGGACUUGGUUCUUACCUCUCUUGUUCUUGUAUACAUCAGGAUUAACUUAAAUUUUAAAAGAAAGAACUUGCUGCAUCAAAAGGCACAUGGCCAGCAGAUUGAAGGAGGUGAUUCUGCCCCUCUGCUCUGCUCUCAUGACACCCCACGUGGAGUGCUGCAUUUAUCACAAGAAAGACAUGGGCUUGUUGGAGCAAGUCCAGAGGAGGGC